RNAcentral lists this ribosomal RNA (581 nucleotides) under uncultured bacterium. RNAcentral describes it as "partial 16S ribosomal RNA". It matches the Rfam family "Bacterial small subunit ribosomal RNA", at positions 355 to 932 of the family's 1533-position model. The record is from RNAcentral.
UGGGGAAUUUUGGACAAUGGGCGAAAGCCUGAUCCAGCAAUGCCGCGUGUGUGAAGAAGGCCUUCGGGUUGUAAAGCACUUUUGUCCGGAAAGAAAUCCUUGGCUCUAAUACAGUCGGGGGAUGACGGUACCGGAAGAAUAAGCACCGGCUAACUACGUGCCAGCAGCCGCGGUAAUACGUAGGGUGCAAGCGUUAAUCGGAAUUACUGGGCGUAAAGCGUGCGCAGGCGGUUUGCUAAGACCGAUGUGAAAUCCCCGGGCUCAACCUGGGAACUGCAUUGGUGACUGGCAGGCUAGAGUAUGGCAGGAGGGGGGUAGAAUUCCACGUGUAGCAGUGAAAUGCGUAGAGAUGUGGAGGAAUACCGAUGGCGAAGGCAGCCCCCUGGGCCAAUACUGACGCUCAUGCACGAAAGCGUGGGGGAGCAAACAGGAUUAGAUACCCUGGUAGUCCACGCCCUAAACGAUGUCAACUAGUUGUUGGGGAUUCAUUUCCUUAGUAACGUAGCUAACGCGUGAAGUUGACCGCCUGGGGAGUACGGUCGCAAGAUUAAAACUCAAAGGAAUUGACGGGGUCAUAGCUG